RNAcentral lists this long non-coding RNA (297 nucleotides) under Olea europaea subsp. europaea. The record is from RNAcentral. Lineage: Eukaryota; Viridiplantae; Streptophyta; Magnoliopsida; Lamiales; Oleaceae.
AAUAUUUCAAUUGUCUUUCAGAUAUUUUUCCAUUCAUCUUCACAAAAAUAUACACAACACCGCCAUCCAAUCGCUCAUCCAAACCCUUUAACCAUCUUCCGUCAAAACCUUAGAACAGCAAUUAAAAAAAAAAUUCAGCAGCAGUUUCUCCAAUUUCAGUUAGUUGCAAAAAAAAAAAAAAAAGAGAGAGAGAAAGAGGUUACUGUUCGGGUUACUGUUCACCCGAAAUCAGUAAAAAUAAAUAAAUAAAUAAAAAUUUGAAGCCUUUAUCAUUUAGAAGUCUAUUGUUGCACACUG